This 218-nucleotide unclassified non-coding RNA is filed under the name Hevea brasiliensis (rubber tree). The record is from RNAcentral. Lineage: Eukaryota; Viridiplantae; Streptophyta; Magnoliopsida; Malpighiales; Euphorbiaceae.
AGAAGAUAAAAAAAAAAAUAGAAAGCAUGAAAUUUUCUGAAAAGAAAAAUCAAAAUGGACGCAUGAUACCUCCCAAAGAGAACGAAUGGCCGCAUAGGAGAAUGAAGAACCUCGAUCUCAUAAUCCAAUCAAAGGAUUGCGGCCUUGAGGAGUUCGAGGAUGCACCAGUGGAGGGUUUCGGCGCGGCGUUGCUUGCAGGAUAUGGAUGGUAUAAAGGC